Molecule: long non-coding RNA, 2050 nt
Filed under: Sus scrofa (pig)
Lineage: Eukaryota; Metazoa; Chordata; Mammalia; Artiodactyla; Suidae
Description: lncRNA (ENSSSCG00005026895.1)
Source: RNAcentral
AUAAUCUUGUGUUUUUAUCUCCAGUGGUUGGCAGGUGUGACGCAUGGCCACACCUCACAUGGUGCACAGUCAUGCAUUUUCUUUGGCUUCCGUGCUCUCUCCUACUUGCUGAAGAUCAGCUCCCCCAAAUAAAGCUGUUGGCUGUCUUUCUUGUCAUCCAUUCUUUCGGACACCUCAGGGGACCCAGCUGCACAGAUUAAGAGGCCACCAUGGCUACACACACACACACACACACACACACACACACACACACCCCUCCUGGAUUGACAUUCUGCUAAAAGUUGAUGAAAAUCUGGUGAUAGCAUGUAGCUCUUUAGGCAGUAAAAACCAUAUUUAAGACUUUACUGGCUUUGACUAGACUAUGGGUGGCCUCGCUCUUCACAUCUGCUGUCAGCCUGUGUUCGGCCGUCAUUCACACAUACAUACCCUAGAAAUUCCAGUCAUCAAACAGCAACGCCUGAAGUACCUCUUCCAGGAAGACUCAGUCCUCUAGUCUCCGGGUUUGGAAGUAUCCCAAACAUCUUUAGGAAAAUUCUUUCAUCUACUUCUCCGUCCCCUUUUGGGUAUAUAAAAAGUUAGCAUACUGCACAAUACGUGAAACGGCUCUCUCAACUAUCCUACCUUCUGCAGUUCUCCUUCUGUGUCCAUAACCACAGUUUAUACAUGGGUUUUAUUAUGCAGUUAGGCUCAGCGCCAUUUGUGAUGAUAAAGAGUUGAGGCUUGUCCCCUCUCACGUGGACACGCUCCGGCUUACCUUCAUCGUGUGAGUGAAUGUCUCAGGUUGGCCCAGUGGGUCCAGGUCAGAGGGCAUGUGCUUAGCUGUGGAAUUCCAGAGGUCACUCCCUGCCUUUGUCUCCUCCACCAAAGCUCAUGUCACUUGCAUCAUGCUUUGACUUGAAACAAUAUUGCAUCGGAGGGAGUGUGCAUAAUGGGCUGUGUUGUCCAAUUAUCAUGAGAUUACCGAAUACUUUUGCCUGGAAACUUGCCAGCAAGAGUGAACAAAGAGAUGCCCCAAGCCACUUUCUCAGCUUUAUUCCUCAAGACUAAAUGGCAUUCCCAGUACCCUCUGUACCUUUCUGAUUGAGUAAAUGGAUAAGUCAGGCUUUUACUUAUUUUUUUAUUUUUGGACAAAGAAUGUGGCUAGGACCGGACAUCAAGAUUUUUUUAAGCUACUUUGAUGAGAAUGAGUAAAAAGCCAAAAGGUGGAACAGAGAAUACACCAGCUGGAAAUGGAGAUGAUGGAUUUCUAGGAAGUGGGAGAUUGAGAUAUUUACAGUAAUGAACAAAAGUUCUUCCUGGAAUAAAAGUACUGAAGAAGUAACAAAAAGAAGCCAGAAAAAAAAAAAAAAAAAAAAAGAAGAAGAAGAAGAAAAAAAAAAAGGCAUUUUCUUAGCGCACAAAUGCUGAAGCCCAUGCUCUUUGUUACUGGAAAUUCUGACGUUUCUUGCAUUCUCCCAACUUUCUUGAUUUUUAAAAUCUUAACAUUUAUUUCCCCAAUCAUCUUUAUUCAUCUUUGUGUUUUCAUUCUCCUCGAGUUAUCUGUGUCCUCAGAAAGUUGAAAAACAAGUGAUUUUUUUUUUUUUCUUCUCAUCUCUCUUGGCGGAGUCACACAAUGGGCUGCCUUUCCCCUUCUCUGUGGAAAGAAUGGAAACAGAGUAAGCAGCCAGCGGAGCUCCAUACGGAUUGACAUUCCUUGCUUCUGCUUUUGAAGUUAAGAUGGUCACGAGAGAGAAAAAUAUUUUCGGUUCCAAGCCUAAGAAAAGGACAUUCCUUUCCGUCUUGGCACUCUUGUUUUCAUGGUGUUGAUUUCUCUGAGAAUCAUCUUCAGUCUCAUUAAUAUAUCACAUCUGAAAAUGAAAUCCCUUGUGUAAGUUCUUUUCCUCGCCACGCCCUUGAUUAUAGGGAAGGUGAUGUUUUCGUACACAAAUCUGAAGUGGCUUAGGAUGUAUUUUCAUGGCUUUUUUUUUUUUUUUGCCCUGGAUGAGUUCCCAUUGUUGAUCAAGCACUUCAGGAGAGUUUUCCAGAGCCCUGACAGACUCACCCAUGCAUU